Long non-coding RNA from Mastomys coucha (southern multimammate mouse), 284 nucleotides. RefSeq lists it as uncharacterized. The record is from RefSeq and is a predicted model, not a curated record. The transcript is spliced from 4 exons. NCBI's taxonomy places the organism in Eukaryota, Metazoa, Chordata, Mammalia, Rodentia, Muridae.
CCUCUGCCAUGAUUUCUGGGUUCAAGGAGAAGAAAAGCAACAACUAGAGAACACUGAUACAGAGUAGUGAAGUUGUGUUCAUUGAAGACAAUAUUUGAAAAUUGAAUCACUUCCUAAGGUAUGGAUCUGAAAGUAGAAGAUGAUCUGGGAAUGAACAUCAGUAAUCAAUAUUGAAGGGAAGGCAGACUGACAGCCAGAAACAUUAUAACAAAACCUCAUCUGAUCCUUGGGUGGUGGCAAGAUUGUGAUUUGUUCUGGAGAUAGCCCUGCUAUUCCAGAAUCAA